CCUACGGGGGGCAGCAGUGGGGAAUAUUGGACAAUGGGGGCAACCCUGAUCCAGCAAUGCCGCGUGUGUGAAGAAGGCCCUCGGGUUGUAAAGCACUUUCAGUGAGGAAGAACGCCUGGUGGUUAAUACCCAUCAGGAAAGACAUCACUCACAGAAGAAGCACCGGCUAACUCCGUGCCAGCAGCCGCGGUAAUACGGAGGGUGCGAGCGUUAAUCGGAAUUACUGGGCGUAAAGCGCGCGUAGGUGGCUUGAUAAGCCGGUUGUGAAAGCCCCGGGCUCAACCUGGGAACGGCAUCCGGAACUGUCAAGCUAGAGUGCAGGAGAGGAAGGUAGAAUUCCCGGUGUAGCGGUGAAAUGCGUAGAGAUCGGGAGGAAUACCAGUGGCGAAGGCGGCCUUCUGGACUGACACUGACACUGAGGUGCGAAAGCGUGGGUAGCAAACAGGAUUAGAUACCCCAGUAGUC
This 465-nucleotide ribosomal RNA is filed under the name Vreelandella stevensii. RNAcentral's name for it is "partial 16S ribosomal RNA". It matches the Rfam family "Bacterial small subunit ribosomal RNA", at positions 338 to 795 of the family's 1533-position model. The record is from RNAcentral. Lineage: Bacteria; Pseudomonadati; Pseudomonadota; Gammaproteobacteria; Oceanospirillales; Halomonadaceae.